Molecule: long non-coding RNA, 2712 nt
Organism: Mirounga angustirostris (Northern elephant seal)
Lineage: Eukaryota; Metazoa; Chordata; Mammalia; Carnivora; Phocidae
Exons: 3
Source: RefSeq, a predicted model, not a curated record
CGAGAGAGACAGCGAGAGAGGGAGCACAAGCAAGGGGAGUGUGAGAGGGGAAGCAGGCUUCCCACUGAGCAGGGAGCCGGAUACGGGACUUGAUCAGGACCCUGGGAUCACGACCUGAGCCGAAGGCAGACGCUUUAACGACUGAGCCACCCAGGCGCCCCUAUAUUUUCAAGUUUUAACAGUUCAAUUUUUCUCUUCUCCUGUAAGUGUUAUUAUAGCUCUUGAAGAAGAGGUUGAAUUGGUAAAUUCUUGGAAUUAUAAUUAAAGAGCAUUUGUAGGUUUUCUGCCUAAAUUAAGGGAAAUUAUACACAACAACUGGACUGUACUCUUCAUUGUUCAUGUCCUGAAAGACAGAGGAAGGCUAAGAGGCUGUUCCAGAUUAAGAGGAACUAAAAAGAGGCACCAACCAAAUGCAAUGCACAAAGGUUUGAUCCUGAAUUCUGGAUUUGGGUAAGAUACUAUAAAGGACAUUGUUGGGCCAAUUGGCAAAGUUUGAAUAGGGACUGUAUAUGCUAAAAAUUCCUGAAUUUGAUAAUUGUGUUGUUAUGUAAAAAAGUCCCCAUUUCCAUGAGAUCCACACUGAAGUAUUUAGGGGUAAAAGGGAAUGAUGUCUGCUGUUUACUUUCAAAUGGUCCAGAAAAAAUACAUGUAACUGUGUAGAGAGAAAGAAAGAGUGGUGAGCAAAUAUGGCAAAGUGUUAACAAUAGAUGUAUCUGGGUGAAGGGUCCACAGGAGUCCUCAUACUAUUCUUGCAACUCCUGUAAGUUUGAAUGGUUUCAAAAUGAGAAGCAAAAAGGAAAAAAAAAUCCUUCAGAGCACCAUUUUCUUUUCUUUUAUGAGGAAUUUUUUCACAUUCUGUGUAUUAGGCUCCUAUUUGUAAUCUGUAGGGUCUGAUCAAAGACAUAGAUAGUGUAGAAUUUCAGUCAAAUGUAACAUGAGGCCUCUUCCCCCAUUUAUGUUUCACACUAAAUUUUCUUUUUUUUUUUUUUUUAAGUUUAUUUAUUUAAGUAAUCUCUACCCCUGAUGUGGGACUCCUCCAACUGAGCCAGCCAGGCGCCCCACCCAUCAAAUUUUCUGUACACUGAAAGGCAGUCAAGGAAAAUGUCAAAAUACAAAAAAAUUAAAAAGACAAAGACGUUUAACUGUAAAAGGAAGAACGAGUCACUGCUUUUCUCAGCAGUUUUUUUACCUCAUUAUGAAAAAUUUAAACCUCAAGAAAAAUAGAAUAGUAAGAUAAACGCCUCUAUGUAUAUCCGUAACCUAGAGCUAACAAUAGUCAGUAUAUUGUCACAUAUGCUUAUUAUUUUUUGCUAGUGUAUUUCAUUUUAUUUAUUAUUUAUGUAUUAGUUUUUUACUAACAUUUUAUUUUAUUUUUUAGAUUUUGUCAGAGAGAGAGAGCGCACAAGCAGGGGGAGCGGCAGGCAGAGGGAGAAGCAGGCUCCCUGCUGAGCAAAGAUCCCAAUGUGGGACUAGAUCCGAGGAUCCUGGGCUCAUGACCUGAGUCGAACGCAGACACUAACCCACUGAGCCUCUCAGGCAUCCCGCUAACAUAUUUUAAAGAUGUCACGGGGAAGCUCUAAAAACAAGAACAUGUUUCUUUAUAACUACAAUACUAUCAUCAUCCCUGACAAAAAUUAACAAUAAUUCCUUAAUGUUACGUAAUUCCUGGUCUAUAUUCAAAAUUUCGAAGUUGAUCCCAAAUAUCCAUUUCAUUGAUUCAUUCAAAUGAGGAUUGGGUCAAGAACCACACUUAGUGCACUUAGUGUGUAUUUUAAGUCUCUUUUCAUCUAGAACUGUCUUCUUCCUUGCUCUGGGUUAUAACUUUUUUCCUCUUGUGGCCAAGCAAAUAUAUUGGGGGGGGGGGUGGAGGAGAUGAUGAAUAAGGAGUUUGAAUAAUGCCCAGUCUUUAUAUAUUACAUGGGCUCACUAUACAAAGUAUUUAUUUUAUUUUUUUAAAGAUUUUAUUUAUUUAUUUGACAGAGAGAGACGCAGCGAGAGAGGGAACACAAGCAGGGGGAGUGGGGGAGGGAGAAGCAGGCUUCCCGCAGAGCAGGGAACCCGAUGAGGGGCUCGAUCCCAGGACCCUGGGAUCAUGACCUGAGCUGAAGGCAGACGCUUAACGACUGAGCCACCCAGGCGCCCCUAUACAAAAUAUUUAAUUUAAAAACCAGGGAUUUUUUUUUUAAUCUCUUGGAGACAAAGUGAAUACCAUUUUGAGUCCUGUCUACCGUCUCCUCAAACCUCACUGUUCUCACCUGUAUAAUGGGGAUGCUAACCCUUGUCCUGUCUAUUCCACAGGUGUGUCAGGAGGAUCAAACAAGACAGAGUUUGUGAAAGCAUUCUCUUUACUAAUAUGCACAUUAGGCUCUACGUCCAACUUGGAGCCCAAUCUGGGGUCUGAACUCAUGACCUUGAGAUCAAGACCUGAGCUGAGAUCCAGAGCUGGACACUUAACCGACUGAGCCAAUGAGGUGCCCCUGCAGAGAGCUUUUAUAUAAUAUACUUUGGGGAAUUUGACAGCUAUGAAUUUAUGCAGGAGACACUGUGCCCAACAUGGGGCUUGAACUUACAACCCCUAGAUCAAGAGCCGGCCAGGUGUCCCAGGAUGUUGGUAUUACUUUAAAUUAUGUACUUUAUGCAUAAUCAGCUUUCUCAAUUCUUACACUAAUUCACUAUUUAAAAUCUUUCAGUACGCAUCCAUUUGUGAAUAUA